Molecule: non-coding RNA, 443 nt
Organism: Macaca mulatta (Rhesus monkey)
Lineage: Eukaryota; Metazoa; Chordata; Mammalia; Primates; Cercopithecidae
Source: RefSeq, a predicted model, not a curated record
CUUCCUGGGGAGCAGCCCCUUAGCUGCCAUCAGAGCUGUUUGGUGGGGAGCAGGGGUUCUCUGGGAAGCCCACAGCUCAAAUGAACCUUGACAGGUAAUCCUUCUCCAAAGCAGCAGGUGAGUCGUGAUUAGCGCUGCCAGCUGGAGAAGAAGUGGCCUGGAGAAGAAGUCUCCACUAACUCACUAGGUGUUAAUGGAUGAUCCAUGACAAAGACACGCCAUGGCCAAGCACAUUUUGGAAAGACCGGAUUAAACAACGACGGCCACGCACAUUUUGGAAAGACUGGAUUAAACAACAACUACCUGGCAAACUGGUUUCCUUGCCACAGACUUUCUCAAUGCCUUAAAAUGUUAACACGAGCAAUAAGAAUAAAGAAAAGAUACUCCCCCGAUAACACAACUCCAGAAAGAAGGAGUUCAUUGGGGAAUAAAUCUUCAUACUA